Molecule: long non-coding RNA, 6383 nt
Filed under: Sus scrofa (pig)
Lineage: Eukaryota; Metazoa; Chordata; Mammalia; Artiodactyla; Suidae
Description: lncRNA (ENSSSCG00040022772.1)
Source: RNAcentral
AGUCACAAAGUGGUGUGUGCUUGAUAUUAAAAACUGUCAUGCUAACAGUAUUGUGGAGUUUUAUUUUUAUGAAUUUGCAUUAUCUUAUUUUUUAUGUCAUAAAGGAAAAAUUUCUAUAAAAUUUUGUGUCUAUACACAAAACAGUGCUAGGAGUUGAUUUUUUUAUAACUUUCCUGCUGCCUCCUCUAUUUUCUAAAUAGAUUAACCUUUUCGCCCAGUCCCAGGCUGCCUGUGGAAUUCUUGUGGCUAUUUUAUGUGGCCUUCAAUCCAUUUUACGUGUGUCCAUCUGCCUCACUUCACUCCUUUCUUCUUCUCAAAUGAGCUUCCCAUAAACUUCCGUCACAGAGUGUUCCCCUCUCGUGUGUCCAUCCCAGAAUCUCUCUUCCUCCAGCAAGGACAGCAGUUGUGUUGGCUUAGGGCCACCGUAAUGACCUCAUCUGAAGCUUGCUUACAUCUGCAAAGACCCUCUUUCCAAGUAAGUUUGCAUUCACAAGUGCGGGGGCUUCAGCGUGGGCUUCCAUAAAUGUUUUUUGGGGGGAAGGGAAGGGAGCAGGGGACACACAAUUCAGUCCCAAACCCUCUCUAUCUUAUUUCUCCAACUUCCAAACAGGUGUGGGGGAUGGGAGAAGCUGUUCAACCAGGAUGUGCUCUGAGGUCCCCUUUGGCUCACAGAGUCUGAGGCAGCGGAUGUCCACUGUUCCACGUUCAGACAUUAGGUGGCCUUGAGUAACUGAAAAACCCAAGAGAGACAUGAUGAGAAGGAGGCUCUAGGUCGUUAUACAACAGAUAAGGAACGUGGCCUUUGGAAACAUGAUUCACCUCCAUGCUUGGCAUAGCAGGCUGUUUUAUUUUGCUCGUCACAGUGAUUUUCUUUGUCCUCGUUUUUAUUUAUCUGGAUGAUGGUUGGUCAAAAGUUUUCUAAGCUGAAUUCCCAUCUUACUACCCAUAACAUUACAUAAAAUGAGAUGCUAGAGUUAAAAAAAAAUAAUUGUCACAUCACAACUGAUUUUAGAUGUUGGCAGGGCUGCCAGCUGGAGCAGAUUCACAAGGAAAAUCGACUCCUCUCUGUCCUUCAAGCUAAAAAAAGGCGAGAUAAGAAGAGAGGGCGCUCUGUGAUGAAUAAGGGUGGCUGUGCCUCCAUGGGUGGCUGGAGGAGGAGACCCUUUGAGGCCCUGGGGGUGGGUUGGGGGGGAUUGCAAGCGGGGGAGGCCGGGGGGGGUACUGUAGCAUAAAGGGGGAUGAGAACUGUCUAUACUCUCUCCUGAUGUCCCAGUGCUUCAAAGAGAAAACCGUGUCAAAGCCAGGGGAGGGGAAGCACUGAACACCAAGCUGAAUAGAGGACAUUUUCCCAGAGCUCCAGUCUCAGCGUGACAUGUGUACAAAGAUGCAUCUCCCUCCCUCCCGCUACCCCCUCCGCCUGACCUAAGGUGGACACUAGACAGAUAAGCCGGGGCAGGGCAGUGUCCCCUCUAGAAAUCUCUGACUUGUGGGCAGGAAGCGAAAGCUCCAGGAAAAUGGAAUCUUCUCACAGCUGUGGUGCAGUGAGUUAAGUAAGGAUCUGGUGGUGUCAUUGCAGUGGCUUGGGUUGCUGCUGUGGCGUGGGUUCGAACCCUGGACCAGGAUCUCCCACUUGCUAUGGGUAUGGCAAAAAAAUUAAAUAGUGCUAUUUUUUCCCUGAAUCUCAGAAAUUAUUUAGCUAAACAAUGGAUGAUUUCAUUAUAAUGUUCUCAUUACGAAAGCCUAUUCUGUUACUUGCUGCCAACGCUAGGUGAAAACACUGGGAAUUCACACUGGGUCAUUAUUAUUCUGGUCUUUCUUUGCCAUUCUUUCAGCAGUAGGAGUUAUGGAUUUGUCAGCGUUUCCAUUAUUACCUCUUAUUUUCAAGGCUGCUGUCUUAGUUGCUGAAAUUGCAUUGUACUGGAUGGAAGCCUAGAGGUAAUUUCCUUUCGUAUUAUAGCAGCUGCAUUCUUUUAUGGUUGUGUGUGACUCUGCAAGUGAUUUCAAUAUCUUUUUAUUAAAAAAGUAAUUCAUGCAUAAGUCUCAAUUCUCUCUUUUUUUUAAGUGCAUAUAGCUCUUAUCCAAGAUUGAGGUAUGAAUCAUGUGAGGGAAACAUUUAUGAAGAGUCCACAAUGCAGGAAAGGGGGAGCAACAAAACAAGCCAUGGCAAGAAAGCAAUGAGAUCCAUGGGGCGAUAAUCAGUCAUACUUCUUUAUUGGUCACACAUUGUGUGUCUCUGAGAUUUACAAUAUACAACAGAAGGGAGAGAAGAUAUGGUAUUAAAUUAUAAAUUUAAAAUUAUAUGUAUUCCCCUUGCUAUAGACAUUGGGAUCAUCUCAUCAAAUCUUAGAAUUUCAGUAUCUGAAGACCUUAGGUCUUUUUUAUCCAUUAAUUGUGGGUGUUUAUUCCAUCAAUUCCAUAUUCCCUCUUCUGCCCUCCCAAUAAUAGAUCAGUUAUCUAUUGCUGCAUAACAACCCCCAAACUUAGGGGCUUGUUGUUGUUAAAAAGAUAAUCAUUGAGUAGUUCACGAUUCUGGGGGUUGGCAAUUUGAACUGAGCUCAGCCCGCUGGUUCUUCUGCUGGUCCUGACUGGCUCAUGUCUGGUGGUUGGCUAUGAUGCAGAGGCAACUGUGCCAUGCCUGUAACAUCCAACAGGCUACCCCAGGCUUUUCACUGACCACUGAGUCCCAAAAGCAGCAAAAAAGAGCAGAUCCCAACUCACAAACUCCUUUUAAGCAUCUGUUUGUGUCACACUUGCUAAUGUGCCCUUAGCCAAAGCAACUUCAUAUGCAAAGAAGUUAAGAGAUAAGACUCAUCUCUCAGUGGAAAAGACAAGAACAUAAAAAGAAGUAGGAAUCCAUUUUUGUUUGUUUGUUUGUUUUGGCUACACCUGGGGCAUGCAGAAGUUCCCAGGCCAGGAAUCAAACAUAUGCCCAAGCAGUGACAAUGCUGGUUCCUUAAGCUGCUGGGCUACCAGGGAACUGCUGUUUCUUUUUUUUUGGAAACGAGGAUGCUAUCCUGAUAGCUUCAGCUGAGAUCUCCCUAGUAUCCAGUCUUGCCUGAGAAGAAACAGAUGGGGAGACAGUUAUGGGCCAUACGUGAAGGACCAGAAAAUCUCCUAAGGAAAGUGACAAUUCAUCUAAGGAAAGAGAGAUGAGAGUCACAAGAUUGUCCACGGUCAUUAAGUCAGUGAUGGGGGCAGGCUACAUCUCACCACAGCCCUUGUCUGGCCUUCAGGUGGCCCAAUCCUGCCCCAUGAUUUAGAUUCAAGCCUUGAGGAGAAGAGGCUACAGUAACAAGAACAAAACAGAAUUUCAGUGCAGUUUCUGGGGAAGACAUUGGAAUUUAGAGGGUGAAGGGAGCUUCCUUAUUUGGAUCUUCUCUGGGGAUGGGGGGGAGUUGGGCUGAAUCCAGUCUGCUUCUGGACCAGAGUUGAUGUGGGAGAGGAAAUUGGCCUGUGGCAGCAAACAGGCUAUGAUGGACUGCCCAGGAGAACUCACAGCCUCAGCCGUUCAAAGCAGGCCAUGGGGUCUGCUCCCAAGGGCACACAAAACAUCCUCUAUGAACGGGAGGACAUUGAGGGAACUCAGUGCUUGUACCCACGUUCAAGUCAUAGCUCCUGUUUUGUUUUGUUUUCUUUUCACUUUGUUUAUUUUGUUUCUUUUUACAGCCACGCCUGUGGCAUAUGGAAGUUCCCAGGCUAGGGGUCAAAUCGGAGGUGCAGCUGCAGGCCUAUGCCACCGUUACAGCAACAGAAGAUCCGAGCCCCAUCUGCAGUCUACACUGCUGCUUGUGUCAACAGCAGAUCCUUAACUAACUGAGAGAAACCAGGGAUUGAACCCGCAUCCUCCCAACAUUAUGUCAGGUUCUUAACCUGCUGAGCCACAGUGGGAACGCCCAUAGCUCCUGUUUUUAAGCCAGAGUGUGAGUAUGUGUGUGUGUGUCAGUGAUGAGGUAUAGGUAGUAACUGACAUAUAAAGGAAAAGUGCUAGAGAAGGGGAUCUGGGAGCCCCGGAUCAGAGAGAGGCUUCAGGGAAGGGAUAAAACCAAGGGUGGAUCUGCAAAUACGGGAGGACUUGUGUGAGGGUUAAGAUGAAAAAUAUUCCAAAGGGUAAUCAGAGUAGUCUACCCAUGAGGGUAGUUAAUACUUUACUGAGAAACCUACUCUUUUACUAGAAAUUUCUUUGUCUUAGCUCAUGGUGGUGGAGACAUGAGAGAAAUUGUAGGAUCAGGAAUUUGGGAGGAAGAAUGUUCCCAGAUACCUCUGGAAUCUCAAUAUUUAUAACCACUAGGAAAAUGAGGUUACUUUAGCAAUGGCAUUGGUGAACUACUUCUGGAGAAUAAAUGAGUGGGGUGCAUGUGUGUGUGUGUGUAAAAUACGGGCAGGAGGAAGCAGAAAGAACAUAGAAGUCUUAUAUAAAAUGAUGACCGACAUAUAACACAUUUAUUAAUAUGUAUUUAUUAUAUAUAUUUAUACGGGAAGACUCCUGCAAGUAUUAAUAUGUACUCUAUCUUGUUGCAAAAGAAAGGGUAAUUUAAAUUAAUACAUCUAUAUAUUAUACAUUAUAUAUUAUAUACAUAUAACUUGAAGGUACAUUUUAAAUAAGAAUGAAAUAAUUUUUCCAUGAAUUUUUUUUCACAUUGCUGUAUUAAUAGCUUUGUGUACAUGGGGCAGGUUGAAUGGCUCUUACUUCAUCUGACCUACAUAAAGAAAGCAGGUGUCUGGGAGUUCCCAUUGUGGCUCAGCAGGUUAAGAACUUGACAUAGUCUCCAUAAGGAUGCGGUUUGAUCCCUGGCCUUGCUCAGUGGGUUAAGGAUCUGGUGUUGCACUGAACUGCACAGUAGGUCAUAGAUGUGGCUCAGAUCCAGUGUUGCUGUGGGAUAGGCCUCAGCUGCUGUUCCAAUUUGACCCCAAGCUUGUGAACUUUCAUGUGCCGCAGGUUCGGCCAUAAAGAGAAAGAAAAAAAAAAAAUCAGCUGUCUGACUGUUGUGCAAGUUAGGUCCCUUCUGGGUCACCACCUAUGGUGCAUCAAGUUUGGAAUGAAUUCCACAAUAUCACCCAGCUGAGUUAAGGAACAGGCUUUAUUGGGGAAAGGUAAAACCUAUAAGGUGGAUCACACAGAAAGAGAGAACUGGGUUUCCCACCUCCUGUGGUCCCACAGAGAGACAGGCAAGGGAUUUCUGGAAGAAAUGUAGUGUGGAUUUACAUUUCAAUAGAGGAACUAUGUCCCUUCUUUGUCUCCUUUUUCCACAAGGCAAGUAUAAGAAAGCUGUCUUGUCAGUGGGGGAUACUCAGGCAGCUUGAUCCAAGCAGCCUGGAUUUGGAGGCCCAGCUGUUUACAGGGGUUGCUAGGAAAGCCAGCAGCCAGGCUCCAUAUGAUGCUGCACAGGAAGGACACCACCAGUCCCAUGGGAAGCUGAGCCUAAGUGUAGCACUGGGAGAAGGAAGUCUCUGGUCCCUGAUGGCUCAUUGUCCAGAAAAUCAGAGUGAACUUCCACAAUCAUUUCAGAUUAUUUUGCUCAUCCCACUACCCAUAAUGAGAAGUCUGCAGCCAGGAAGCCUGAAACUUGCUAUGGUGGCCUUAAAAAAUUCCCUUUACUGGUCUGACCCUAACUAGAGAUUCUAGUUCUCUAUUCUACCCUACUCUCUAGGUUGUUAGAGAGUCAAAUGAAAGUGACAAACAACUGAAAUGGGAGGCUGGCAAUAUAGCUAACAAUAUUUUUCAGCAACCUGGUUUUAGACAUUUAAUUAAAAUUAAAUCAUACAAGUGAAUGUUGGUAAUUUAGCCAAAAUGUGCCUUCCAAAAUGCAGCCCAGUAGCCAGUACAAAUUAUUCCCAUUCUUCCAAGGCUCCAAGUCCUCGAAUUCAGUAUAGUUAAAAAAUUAUACUCAGAAUAGUGAACUGGAGGAAUUUCAACAUCCUUGAUCAUCAAAAAGGAGGAAUGUGGACCAAAACACAGGGGAGAAAAAUUAGCCAAAUAUUUAAAUCAAAAACAAAAAUAAUCUCUAAUACCAUACAUAAAAAUAAACUCAAAAUGAACUAAAGACCUAAAUAUAAGACCAGAUGCUAUAGAACUCUUAGAGGAAAACAUAGGCAGAACACUCUCUGACAUAAACCACACCAAUAUCUUCUCAGAUCCACCUCCUAAAGAAAUGAAAAUAAAAACAAAAAUAAAAAAAUGGGACCUAUUUAAACUUAGCACAGCAAAGAAACCAUAAACAAAAUGAAAAGACAAUCCACAGAAUGGGAGAAAAAUAUUUGCAAAUGAAGCAACUGACAAAAUAUAUGAACAACUCAUUUAGCUCGAUAUCAAAAAAUAACCCAAUCAAAAAAUGGGCGAAAGAUCUAAACAGAUCCAAAGAAGACAUACAGAUGGCAAAAAAAAA